CAGCAGCCGCGGUAAUACGUAGGGGGCAAGCGUUAUCCGGAUUUACUGGGUGUAAAGGGGGCGCAGACGGCGAUGCAAGUCUGAAGUGAAAUCCCACGGCUCAACUGUGGAAUUGCUUUGGAAACUGUAUUGCUUGAGUGCUGGAGAGGUAAGCGGAAUUCCUGGUGUAGCGGUGAAAUGCGUAGAUAUCAGGAAGAACAUCAGUGGCGAAGGCGGCUUACUGGACAGCAACUGACGUUGAGGCUCGAAGGCGUGGGGAGCAAACAGGAUUAGAUACCCUGGUAGUCCACGCGGUAAACGAUGAAUACUAGGUGUUGGGAGACAUAGUCUUUCAGUGCCGUCGCUAACGCAGUAAGUAUUCCACCUGGGGAGUACGUUCGCAAGAAUAAAACUCAAAUGAAUUGACGG
This 408-nucleotide ribosomal RNA is filed under the name uncultured rumen bacterium. RNAcentral's name for it is "bacterial SSU rRNA". It matches the Rfam family "Bacterial small subunit ribosomal RNA", at positions 509 to 916 of the family's 1533-position model. The record is from RNAcentral.